AGGGGAUAACAUUUGGAAACAAGUGCUAAUACCGUAUAAUACCAACAACCGCAUGGUUGUUGGUUCAAAGAUGGUUCUGCUAUCACUAAGAGAUGGACCCGCGGUGCAUUAGCUAGUUGGUAAGGUAACGGCUUACCAAGGCAAUGAUGCAUAGCCGAGUUGAGAGACUGAUCGGCCACAAUGGGACUGAGACACGGCCCAUACUCCUACGGGAGGCAGCAGUAGGGAAUCUUCCACAAUGGGCGCAAGCCUGAUGGAGCAACGCCGCGUGUGUGAUGAAGGGUUUCGGCUCGUAAAACACUGUUAUAAGAGAAGAACGACACUGAGAGUAACUGUUCAGUGUGUGACGGUAUCUUAUCAGAAAGGAACGGCUAAAUACGUGCCAGCAGCCGCGGUAAUACGUAUGUUCCAAGCGUUAUCCGGAUUUAUUGGGCGUAAAGCGAGCGCAGACGGUUAUUUAAGUCUGAAGUGAAAGCCCUCAGCUCAACUGAGGAAUGGCUUUGGAAACUGGA
RNAcentral lists this ribosomal RNA (512 nucleotides) under uncultured bacterium. Its description in RNAcentral is "bacterial SSU rRNA". It matches the Rfam family "Bacterial small subunit ribosomal RNA", at positions 138 to 637 of the family's 1533-position model. The record is from RNAcentral.